This 422-nucleotide ribosomal RNA is filed under the name uncultured Ferruginibacter sp. RNAcentral describes it as "bacterial SSU rRNA". It matches the Rfam family "Bacterial small subunit ribosomal RNA", at positions 353 to 772 of the family's 1533-position model. Lineage: Bacteria; Pseudomonadati; Bacteroidota; Chitinophagia; Chitinophagales; Chitinophagaceae. The record is from RNAcentral.
AGUAAGGAAUAUUGGUCAAUGGACGCAAGUCUGAACCAGCCAUGCCGCGUGGAGGAUGAAGGCCCUCUGGGUUGUAAACUUCUUUUAUCUGGGAAGAAAAAAGGGAAUUCUUUCCCGUCUGACGGUACCAGAUGAAUAAGCACCGGCUAACUCCGUGCCAGCAGCCGCGGUAAUACGGAGGGUGCAAGCGUUAUCCGGAUUCACUGGGUUUAAAGGGUGCGUAGGUGGGCGAGUAAGUCCGUGGUGAAAUCCUGCAGCUUAACUGCAGAACUGCCAUGGAUACUAUUUGUCUUGAAUAUCGUGGAGGUCAGCGGAAUAUGUCAUGUAGCGGUGAAAUGCUUAGAUAUGACAUAGAACACCCAUUGCGAAGGCAGCUGACUACGCGAAUAUUGACACUCAGGCACGAAAGCGUGGGGAUCAAA